RNAcentral lists this ribosomal RNA (44 nucleotides) under Fusarium sp. SA1-2. RNAcentral's name for it is "partial 17S ribosomal RNA". The record is from RNAcentral. Lineage: Eukaryota; Fungi; Ascomycota; Sordariomycetes; Hypocreales; Nectriaceae.
GGAAGUAAAAAAAUCGUAACAAGGUCUCCGUUGGUGAACCAGCG